This is a long non-coding RNA of Ostrea edulis (European flat oyster), 4072 nucleotides long. RefSeq lists it as uncharacterized. The transcript has 2 exons. The record is from RefSeq and is a predicted model, not a curated record. Lineage: Eukaryota; Metazoa; Mollusca; Bivalvia; Ostreida; Ostreidae.
UUUAAUCUUAACGGCUGGGAAUUUCAACAGUAAUGAAAGUAGAAUGUAAACAGAUAUUUAUGAAUAUGCAAUCUUGAGCAUAUGAACGCCGCUCACAUUUCGUACGAGCGUGAAGCGUUUAUUUUCAUAUUGGCAAAUCUUCGGAUAUAUUGAAUUGAUAUAUUUAUAGGAAAUAUUUGCAAUUUUUACUAUGUAAACUAAUUAAUUGCAGAUAUCGUGGAAUUCCUUGGAAAAAUGAAAACGCUCUUAUGGAAAGCUGGGCAGAAUAAAUGGACGACAGUGGUGUUUGAUGAGAAACUUAAUCAACUUCUGUCAGAAAAUGAGUUUGCCUUUAGAUGUCAGAGUGCGAAUGAUGUCUGGAAAUUGCUAGCCGUUUCCACGAAAGGUAAUGAGAUGUAAAGGUAAAGUGUAGAAUUUACCGGUAGCAUUACUCGUCUUUACAAUAUCUCCAUACAUGCACUGGUACAUGUAAAUUAAAUUUAAAGCGAGCUUAAUGUAUACAAUACGAAUGUUUAAAAACAUGAACUAGAAAAUGAUUUAAAUUUCAUACAGGUUCUCGGUUACCAAACCUUCCCCCGAGACGGAGGUCUGGCUACGAAAACUUCUAUCAAGACAAGUGACUACCGACGUCCCCUCCGUUCUCCCUGCCAUCCUCCAAGUAUACACGAAUUACAUCAAAGGGACAGUUAGAAACUUAGAACAAGUGGCCAUGGAGAACCACAUGAUCAAAGGAUACGCGGCCGACAUCACCGACUUCAUGUUAAAGUUCCUCGGUAAGUAUUAUACAAUAUUCGAGAAUAUAUAGAGCGUGUUCCAAAUUUCAGCAGCAGUUGUAUAUUACGAUACAGACAAUUAGAAAACUUAUUAAUCAAGUGUAGGACCAGAUCAGCUUAGAUAUUUAGAAUCCAUCUUUGAAUACCUGGCAACCACAAAGACAAACGACAGGGAGAUCUACGGGGACUAGACAAUGGCGAUUCUCCACAACGCUCGCUCGAAGUUUGGGUGUACACCUUCAACAUGGUUGAAACAAUCCCAGAAGAUCCAUACUUGUGUUGCAAGUUUUCCCUCACCCUUUUGAAAAUUAAAAAAAAAUUCAGAAAAACAUUUAUUUUUGUUUGUAAUGAAUGUAAUUCAAAAAUGGAAUUUGUAUUGUGGAAUAAUGUAUCAUGAUUUAAACAAUUGUGUAUCAGCCUGACAGUGAUAAACUUGAGGAGGAAUAGGUAAUUUUCUAUGCAGUAGACAUGUCGAAUAAACUGUUCAUACUAGAACCCGAUGCUACAUGGUAAAUUAGCCCUGUUGGUCUUGCAAGGGAAAUUUAACUAUAAUGGUCAGGGACAGAUCCAGGAAUUGCGGUUAGGGGGCGCAACUUUAUGAGGCAUUAGGUCUAGGGCGAAGCCCUGGUGGGGGCCCAGGGGGCGAAGCUCCUGGAUUUUACAAGAUUUUAGAGGGCUUGAAAUAUGUCUCCUAUGUAGUCAUUUUUGAUAGAGGGAAAUCAAUAAAAUGACGUAAAUUUUAAGGGGUUUUGGAAAAAAAUGUAAGUUCUCCCAAUAAAAGUAAUUCAAUAAAUCAAAAGAUUGUCAUUUAUUGCUCCGAGUGGAAGAAAUUAUUGCUUUCAUCGUUUACAUUUUUCUAAACAAAGAGACCACGAUUUACCUUAAAUUUAAAAUUUUUAGGGGUGAGUGGGGGUGCCCCCCCCCUUAAAUCCACCACCGAUAGCAUUUUCCAUUUUUUUGAACCAUGAAAGUCGUCUGAAACCAAAUUCGUGUGCAAUAUUGGGUUUUUACCACGGGACCACAACUUUCCCACCCACUCCUUUUGAUUUUUUGGGCGGCAAUUUCGAUUGAUGUAAUUGUUUCACGCUUUUUGUAAGCUUUAAAGAGAUUUGUGUAUUCUACUGAUAUGAAAUGCAGGUGAAAGGAAUUUUCCUCCCCUCCCCUGUGAUGAAGUUGGGAAGUAUGGCCCGUACACAAUCCUCGCACGACCAUAAACAAUUCCAAAACUGCACAUAUAAGAUUUCCGAUCAAAUGAUGCCCCUAGUGGCGGAUGUAGAGGGGGUUGCACACACACACACUUUUGCGUUGAUCUCUUCAAAUAAUGAUCUCUUCAAAUCUGAAUUGUAGCGCACAUUUAAUGAAUUGGUGAUAGCUUGGAUUAUUCUGCUGAAUCGAUUAUCGCUGUAAUUGUAAAUGAAUUCUAGUAGUUCAAUCAAAUGCGUGUCAUAAUUGAAUUAUUGCUCUCUUCAGUUGAAUUAAUGGUAUCAUUAAUGAUGCUCGCGAUAAUUAUUUUAGGGAGAACUAAAUGAUUAGAGAUCUUCAAUUCAACUUAUCCACAUUGAAUUAAUAGUGAUCUCUUUACUUGAAGUGUUGCUCCCUUAAAAAGAAUAUAUGCGCGCAAAAGCAUUGUAAAUCCUUAGAAGAGAUCAUCAAAUCAUUUAAACCGAGCUCCAAAUCAAAUUUUGCGAGCAAUCAUUCCAUCACAUUGCGCGCAUCAUUGAAUUUGAGCAAUGAUUGAUACGCGCAUCUAAUCAAUUACUGCUCUCAUUGAAUGAAUUAAUCAGUGCUCUCAUCAAUUGAAUCUAUGCGCGUAUCAAUUCAACUGCAUGAUGAGAGUGAUAUUUGAUUUGAUGCGUGCAUCAAUUCCAAUUAUUGCGUGUUAUAAUGAAAUUGAUAUCUUCAAGUAAAUAACGAUAUCUUCAAUUAUUUGAGUUUAUGUUAAUUAGGCGCUCCAAACAAACUCAGGUUGCAACACCCCCACCCCCACCCCCUUAAAAUUUUCUGUAACUGCCCAUAUGUAUCAGUGGUCAUUUGUAUCAUCGCAGAAUAGACAACUUUAAAGUGAUGCAUAUUCAUGUUCCAUACUGCUGCAGUUGACUACAAAUGCGAUUUGAAUAAAUAUUUGUUUUUGACCUUGACCCCAUCCUCAAGGUUGGAACCCAAUCGCGUCAAAAUUUAAAAUGUGUGUACAGUUGCAACCAUUUCAGUUUUCGUACAUCGUGGUGUUAGGAUUAGCAGCCCAUUUACAACUAAUAUUCAUCGUUGGAAAGUGAACCAGGUCCAUUUUCAAAUACAGGUUUAAAGGUUGGGUUUGGGUUUUUUUACGCUGAAGGUAAAUGUAUGGGGAAAGAAGUAAUAAAAAGAUACAAACUUAUACAGAUUAUUACACAUUUAAAAGAAAUCGAUCGAACACGUUGUUCGAGAAAUCGUGUGCAAAAUUGUUUUGAGGGAAAGAAGAUAGAAGACCUGAAUUUGAAAGGUUCAGAUUUCAUUAAUUUCAUUUUUACGUGUUGCACUGUGAAAUUUGAUCUAAAUCGAUUCGUGUACAGAUGCUACCUAUGUACACUCAUGAUAAAUGUACAUGUAUGUAUAAAUUAUAUAAAUCGCAAAGAUUGUGUACCAUCGGAAUAACUUUGAAUUCAGACAUGUCUCCGAAACUUUCCACAGUAUCCGUUGUCGUGUGUUCGAUGUUGAUCGUAGGACUGUUGGAGGGAACUUUGCUGGACUCUGUUUUAAAGAAACCCACGACCCUUAUUCAGCUUGAAUAUAGAAGUUUUCAAAAUCUCCUGAAGCUGAAAAAAGAAAGUUCAAAUACAGCAACAGUUGCAUUCACAGCACAACUAGGAGGUGAUCUACGAAAUGUGAAAUCCCAUGAAACUAUUGUUUAUAAUCACACGAGACUGAACUCUGGCAACAGUGACGAUGGUAAGACGGGAAUCUUUACAGCACCAACUUCCGGGAUCUACUACUUUUCCUGGACAAUAUUAGCUAGACCGAAAUUCCCUUUCAAUACUGCCAUUGUGAUCAACAAGUCAAAACACUAUCAAGCCUACAACCACUGUGUUUCAUCUAUAAACCAGUAUCGCAUGUGUUCCAAGUCUGUCCUGCUCAACUUAACAACUGGUGACAAAGUCUGGAUAGUGGCUUAUCGCAUGUCAGUCGAGUAUGCUCAUGGUGGCACCUGGCCACAAUUUUCUGGAUUCAAAUUAGCUUAAUGUGUUCAUGUCCCAGAUUCACUGAAGCAUUACUGGUAUUUUACCUGUACAUGUAUCACAAGAAAUAAAUUAAUUGGGGCAGAA